GACGAACGCUGGCGGCGUGCCUAAUACAUGCAAGUAGAACGCUGAAGGAGGAGCUUGCUUCUCUGGAUGAGUUGCGAACGGGUGAGUAACGCGUAGGUAACCUGCCUGGUAGCGGGGGAUAACUAUUGGAAACGAUAGCUAAUACCGCAUAAUAGUAGAUGUCGCAUGACAUUUGCUUAAAAGGUGCAAUUGCAUCACUACCAGAUGGACCUGCGUUGUAUUAGCUAGUUGGUGAGGUAACGGCUCACCAAGGCAACGAUACAUAGCCGACCUGAGAGGGUGAUCGGCCACACUGGGACUGAGACACGGCUCAGACUCCUACGGGAGGCAGCAGUAGGGAAUCUUCGGCAAUGGACGGAAGUCUGACCGAGCAACGCCGCGUGAGUGAAGAAGGUUUUCGGAUCGUAAAGCUCUGUUGUAAGAGAAGAACGAGUGUGAGAGUGGAAAGUUCACACUGUGACGGUAUCUUACCAGAAAGGGACGGCUAACUACGUG
RNAcentral lists this ribosomal RNA (495 nucleotides) under uncultured bacterium. Its description in RNAcentral is "partial 16S ribosomal RNA". It matches the Rfam family "Bacterial small subunit ribosomal RNA", at positions 28 to 507 of the family's 1533-position model. The record is from RNAcentral.